This 74-nucleotide transfer RNA is filed under the name Pseudomonadota bacterium. RNAcentral describes it as "tRNA-Gln". It matches the Rfam family "tRNA". From Rfam's summary of the family: Transfer RNA (tRNA) molecules are approximately 80 nucleotides in length. Their secondary structure includes four short double-helical elements and three loops (D, anti-codon, and T loops). RNAcentral also lists the same sequence under 2 other names. Lineage: Bacteria; Pseudomonadati; Pseudomonadota. The record is from RNAcentral.
UGAGGGGUCGUCUAAUGGUAGGACGCUGGCCUUUGGAGCCAAGAACGGAGGUUCGAAUCCUCCCCCCUCAGCCA